This 266-nucleotide ribosomal RNA is filed under the name uncultured bacterium. RNAcentral describes it as "partial 16S ribosomal RNA". It matches the Rfam family "Bacterial small subunit ribosomal RNA", at positions 92 to 354 of the family's 1533-position model. The record is from RNAcentral.
CGACCGGCGCACGGGUGAGUAACACGUAUGCAACCUGGCCGUGACAGAUGGAUAACCGGGAGAAAUCCCGCCUAAUACAGCAUGACGCCGGGAAGGGACAUCCCUUUCCGGCCAAAGGGGGCGACUCCGGUCACGGAUGGGCAUGCGGCGCAUUAGGUAGUUGGUGGGGCAACGGCCCACCAAGCCGACGAUGCGCAGGGGUUCUGAGAGGAAGGUCCCCCACAUUGGAACUGAGACACGGUCCAAACUCCUACGGGAGGCAGCAG